This is a ribosomal RNA of Carlito syrichta (Philippine tarsier), 100 nucleotides long. NCBI's taxonomy places the organism in Eukaryota, Metazoa, Chordata, Mammalia, Primates, Tarsiidae. The record is from Ensembl.
GUCUCCGGUCUUCCCAUCCUGAACACACCUGAGCUUGUCAGGUCUCGGAAGCUGAGCAGGGUUGGGUCUGGCUAGUACUUGGGUUAAAAAAAUGCAGACU